RNA transcript from Pistacia vera, 1426 nucleotides. It is a transcript of the gene named calcineurin B-like protein 1, with no coding region annotated. NCBI's taxonomy places the organism in Eukaryota, Viridiplantae, Streptophyta, Magnoliopsida, Sapindales, Anacardiaceae. The transcript is spliced from 9 exons. The record is from RefSeq and is a predicted model, not a curated record.
CAUCCUUUCCUUUCCUUUCCUGUAAUAUUAGCACACUCACAACAGACCUGCUUGAAAUUUCUCCGGACACCGGUUAUAAUCUCAGCCCUUUCCCAAAGCCCACGAUCUCUCACCUAAUUUAGCUUCACAUUAUUAUUUUCCAUCUCUCCUCUCCUUCUCUCUCUCUUUUCUUCUACAAAAUUUAUUCAUAAAUCAUACUCACGUCGGGACGGGACAUUUCUCGGCCAAUUUGUUGGUUGAGAUGAAGAUGGUUUUGGAAACGAUGAUUUGCUGUUGAAGAAGUGCAGUGUAUUCGGCUUCUUUCUUGUUCUUUUGGUUAUCGCUUGUUGGAAAUGGGCUGUUUUCAUUCUAAAGUUGCUAGACAGCCCCCUGGACAUGAAGACCCUGUAGUUCUCGCCUCACAAACUGCUUUUAGUGUCAGUGAAGUUGAAGCGCUUUUCGAACUAUUCAAGAUGAUCAGCAGUUCUGUGGUUGACGAUGGGUUAAUAAGCAAGGAAGAAUUUCAGUUGGCUCUCUUCAAGAACCGAAAGAAAGAGAAUCUCUUCGCCAACAGGAUCUUUGAUCUGUUUGAUGUCAAGCACAAGGGAGUCAUCGAUUUUGGUGACUUUGUUAGAUCCCUCAAUGUAUUUCAUCCAAAUGCUCCUCAAGAAGACAAGAUCAAUUUUGCAUUCAAGCUUUAUGAUCUUGAUAGUACUGGAUUUAUUGAGCGCCAAGAGGUCAAGCAAAUGCUGAUUGCACUUCUGUGUGAAUCUGAAAUGAAAUUGGCUGAUGAAACCAUUGAGAUCAUACUUGAUAAGACUUUCAUGGAAGCUGAUGUGGACCAGGAUGGCAAAAUAGAUAAAUCUGAAUGGCAAAAUUUCGUUUCCAAAAACCCAUCAUUGUUAAAGAUCAUGACCCUUCCGUAUUUGAGGUAAGUAAUCGUGUAGGUUGUGUGUAAUCUUUUGUUUUAGUAAUCUCAGUGAAAACCCAUCAUUGUUAAAGAUCAUGACCCUUCCGUAUUUGAGGGAUAUUACAACGACUUUUCCAAGUUUUGUUUUUAAUUCAGAAGUUGAUGAGAUUGCUACGUAAUUGAAACAGGAAUUAGCAUAGAAAAUUUGUGUGUUAUCCUCCUGUAUUUGAUUUUUGAAAUUGAAGGGAACAGUGCUUUGAUGCGUGACUGAGUACAUACUUAGUUGAGUACUCAGUUAAAAUUUGAAGCUUUGUGAUGGAAGCAAUAUAUUAUUUGUGUAGUUAUUUCCCAAAUGUUAAAAGGUGUAGGUUUAGAUUGAUUUGAUUAUUUUCUUUUUUCUUCGUUUAUUUCUGGUGCAUUAAUUUGAAAUACGAAGUGAUUCAAAGGAUGUUGUAUAAAAUGUAGAUGUGUGUCAUCCCAUAAAUAGUAUUCAUUUAGUACACUCUUUGACACAGUUAUUUUCAGCCCAAUUUGUAC